GCUCCGCGGCGUCACUGUCCGGUCCGGCCUCGCUGUCCCCCAACGCCCGAGAGUCUGAUUUCGGCGCCCCGUGGCUGGCCUCUGGUUGUGGCACGGAGACCGCUCGGUGUCUCCGUGCGAAGCACGGCUAUCCGGAGAGAGAGAGGGUUCAAGCAGUGUGCGCACCGCCAAGCGAGCCCUGCAACUGAAAAGAAAGCAGAAAAAAAGUGAUUGCCAUGAUACGGAGCCCAUUCCUGGAGACUUCAGCCAUUCAAAACUUGUAUCAAUUAUACCUCCACACCAGACUCCUUCUGCCUGUAGUGCAGAGAAGCCUGUCACCAGGGACAUGCACACUAUUUCCUUUGAAGCCAAGGAGAUCGCUGUGUGCAUUCAAAGAAAGAAAUACAGCUUCAAAUGCUUAGAAAUGACAAAUUUAUACAAUUAGAAUUCAUUCUGUUUGCAAAAGUGUAUAUGUUGUGAAUAAAACCAUUGAGACUCCA
This is a long non-coding RNA of Lagopus leucura (white-tailed ptarmigan), 479 nucleotides long. RefSeq lists it as uncharacterized. The record is from RefSeq and is a predicted model, not a curated record. NCBI's taxonomy places the organism in Eukaryota, Metazoa, Chordata, Aves, Galliformes, Phasianidae. The transcript is spliced from 2 exons.